UGGACCCUGUAGGUUUUAACCUGAAUUUCUUCAGUAUUUGCCCUCGUGUAUAAUAUAUGCUAGGCAUAAUGCAGAUACCUACAUGAUACAUUUUUUUUUUUCAUUACCCACUCUGCUACUCUCACAAUGUAUAAUAAAAUAUUCGAUUCAUUUCUAACACAUGUAUGCAAUCCCUUACCUUAUCUUUAAAUAAAUUUGAGUAAAUAAAUUUAAGUGCGAAACUGUUCCAUGCUACCGUGAAACUUAGAUUUUGCUUUUUAAACAUAAACCAACAAUUCUUAAUUGUAAUUUCUUUUCUUCUUUAAAAAGGGUAUUGACAUCCCAAUAUUUAGUGGGAAGUUCCCAGGUAUCAUCCGCUAGCAACAGUCUACUGACAAAUCCAGACAUGCAUUGGAAGGAUGCUGAUGUGGAGGACACCGGAACACCUGAUCCCAGAACUGUGGCAUUUCAUUCGGGGUGACAACCUGCCUUUCAGUUGGUAUGACUCUUUGAGGUUGAAUAUAGGGUUUAAUCAGUAUAAAUUUGAUUAACAUUCAAAUAAAUCCAGAUAAUACAUUCACAAUUGGAAUCAUGGCAUUAUGGUACACUGAUAUGUGUGUACCAUUUUACUGGGUUUUUUUGUUUUUGUUUUAAUUUUUUUUUGCUGCAUAACUAGGGAUCGUAUACAUACAAAAUGAGAUAAUUUCUAAUUAGUUUCUAAUUAUAAGGUAUGCCACGUUUUAAGGUAUGGUGGCCAAUACUGAUUUUAUUUGCAAUUUUCUUUCAGAUAUGGGACCCUAUUAUUCGGAGAACUGCAGAUUUUAUGAAGCUGUUUUUGACAGAAGAUUUGGUUUUCUCCAUCUGUGUUGCCACCAACCAUUAUUCUGAGAUAGUCAUAUCUAGGGGGAAGGGUUGCCAUAUACUUCCAAAGGAAGUUUGCAACCUCUCACUGAAGAGGAACUGUACAGAUUUUUGUGCAUUAUCUUAUACACGCCUGCUGUGAAGUUCCAGUCGAUAGACAGAUAUUGGUCAACGCAUGCCCCUGUCGGAACAACUCGUUAUCAAGAAUUAUGUCUAGAAAUAGGUUUCAAGAGGUUGAAUAUCAGAACAUUUUUGUUAAAUAUGAUGCAAGUACAUUUAAAUCUAGUGAUUGAAAGUAAGUACUUGAACAUUCGUUUAUGUUGAACUUGGAGAGGAAAAAUGGUUAGUACUUUUUGAUAACAUUUGAUAAGGUGUUGUUGCUUAGCAACCAAAUAUAAUUGAAUAAAAAAAAAAAAUAUUAUUUUAGAUUAACAAUAACUGAAAGAUCUUUGUUUUAAUGUUGCAAUACUUAUUCUAUUUAAUGGAACAUAAUGGCAAAACGUCAUAUUAUUAGAAAAUGAUGGACAAGUAUAUAAAGUACGAAGUUUCCAUUUAAUGACCUUUGACCUUAAUUAAUUCUCUUCAUUAUAUUUUUUGUCAAAAACCUUUUAAAAUGAUUAAGAUCUAUUUAAAGAUUAUAUUUUUAAAAUAAUGUGACAUUUACUAAUCAUCAUGGAUUGUAAUUACGUUUAAAUUGUGUCUAAUGGAUGCAGAAAGGCAAAUUAUGGUCAAAAUUGUACUAUGAGUGUUGUUACUUAGCAACCAAAAAUAUUUGUUUGUCAAUAAAAUUGAUUAGUUUGA
Molecule: long non-coding RNA, 1641 nt
Organism: Ostrea edulis (European flat oyster)
Lineage: Eukaryota; Metazoa; Mollusca; Bivalvia; Ostreida; Ostreidae
Exons: 2
Source: RefSeq, a predicted model, not a curated record